AUCUUGGUCAGAGUUUUGAUUCAAAUUUGACGCUUUCUCACUAUGAAUUGAGUCCAAAAAAGGGACAAACUGUACUGUUUCUUGGAGACCUCUCCUAUGCGGAUCAGUACGAGAAUCAUGAUAAUGUGAGGUGGGAUACUUGGGGAAGGUUUACAGAAAGAAGUGUUGCAUAUCAACCAUGGAUUUGGACUGCAGGGAACCAUGAACUAGAUAAUUAUCCAGAAAUUGUAAGCUUCUCAAACGAAUUCACUUUUCUUUGUGUUUUUCAACGAAAAAUCAUAACUUUGGUGUAAUGCAUUUUCCCAGUCCAAAUGUUGGUAAGAAUAGAGUUUUUAACAUACAUGAACACUUUUUUGCAGGGUGUAACCGUACCUUUCAAGCCUUAUUCCCAUCGUUAUCAUGUUCCUUACAAAGCAUCUCAGAGCACUUCACCCUUCUGGUAUUCUAUCAAGAGAGCUUCAGCACACAUCAUUGUCUUGUCCUCAUAUUCUGCAUAUGGUAAUUCCCUCCAACGUCUUUUGCAUCAUUCAUUAGUCUAUGAUUUCAGAUUAACUCGGUUCUGUUUCUAAUAAUAUUUCAUUUAGCAAUUAGCUAUAAUUUACAACAGAAAGAUGAAAUUAUGCAAAAUCAUUUCAGCUCUUAGAUCUGUAUCUAUCUAUAUGUAUGUAUCAACUUCAUGUGGAAUGUUAUUGUUUAUCUAAAAGCAUGAUGUCGGUUUUGUUAAGUUCUUGACCAACAACACUUACCUCAAUAAUCUGCGUGUCUGUUUCGUUUUGGAUUCAAUGCUCACCUAAUCUUUGAUGCCACUACUUUGAAAGUGGUAGCGCUUUUGUUAUAAUAAUCAUCGUUAUUCUCAGGCAAAUAUACGCCACAGUAUAGAUGGCUUGAACAGGAGCUACCGAAAGUUAACAGGACAGAGACUCCUUGGUUGAUUGUUCUCAUGCAUGCACCUUGGUACAAUAGCUAUAAUUAUCACUACAUGGAAGGAGAAACAAUGAGAGUAAUGUUCGAAACCUGGUUUGUGGAGUACAAGGUUGAUGUUGUGUUUGCUGGUCAUGUGCAUGCCUAUGAACGAUCUGUAAGUGCUAAAACAUGACUUCAUCUGCAAUUUCUAAUGCUUCUGAAAGCCACCAAUAUCAAUCAUGUACCAUCAGGCUUGCUUACAAGCUUGAAAACAUAUUCUAUUUAUAAAAUUUAAGAUGGAAAUAAACAACAAAAAUAUUGUGCAAAUGCAUUUUAAUAAUCUCUUUGGAAUGAGUAUAUGAUUGAUGGGCUGCUAUGUAUCAGGAACGUGUUUCUAACAUUGCAUACAACGUUGUAAAUGGCAUUUGCACUCCUGUAAAAGAUCAAUCAGCUCCUGUAUAUAUCACCGUUGGUGAUGGAGGAAACCUUGAAGGCUUAGCAACCAAGUAAGCUCAUCGAACGUGACAUGAUGAUUCUUGUCACUUUUCUCCUUACUUUUAUGUCAUUAAGCUUGAACAUGUAUUUACUAAGUCUGAUAUGAACUGCAGCAUGACAGAACCACAACCUGAGUAUUCUGCAUAUAGAGAAGCCAGCUUUGGACAUGCCAUGUUUUCCAUAAAGAACCGAACGCAUGCUCAUUACAGCUGGAACCGAAAUCAUGAUGGAAUUGCCGUGGAGGCUGAUUCCGUUUGGUUUUUCAAUCGAUACUGGCACCCAGUUGAUGAUUCCACUGUUCAUGAGUGAUAUUAACGCACACUUUCACUACAACAAUGCAUAAUUUGACGUCAAUAAAUUCAUCAGUCGGCAACUAUUUGCUGCCAAUACCACCAACAAUGAUCUUCAAUGUCUCUGAAAUAGUUACAGUUGACAAUUGCAAAUUGCGUGCUUCUAUUCUGAAAUUGCAUUGCAUAAAGUCCAAGCGAAUUUUGAAAGAUAUUUUUUCAAUUUAAAAGUUAAAAUUAUGUUACAAAUUGUAUAAUUUAUAAUUUAUUUUUUUUUAAGUUAAUUUCUUUAUUUUGAAUUAAGCAAUUAAAAAAUUAAUGGAUAAUAAAAAAGUUAAAAUUAGCUUUCAGUCCAAAAGUUAAAAUGAUGUUUCAGAUUAGAUUGCAUAAGAACACAUAUUUUUGAAAUAUAAAUUAGAUUUUAAAUUGCAUAAUUUAGAAUGAACUCCAACCUAAAAAUUCCCAUUGCUCAACAUAAAUUAGAUUUUAAAUUUAAUGAUCUUCAUUUCAGCUCAAAUAAUGUGAAAAUCUACCACUCAAUACCUCCACUUGCUGACCAAUCUAAGCAAAAAGCAAUAACGGUGUGCCUAUUUCAUUACCAUAUAAUAGAAGAAGGGUACUAUUGGCAGUUUGAGUUUUAUGGGCUUGCAUAUGGACAUUAUAGGGGUGGAAAAAGAAAUAUUCAAGAACUGUUUAACUUGUUGGACUUUUCUCCCUACACCCUCAUAAUUUCUUUCUCUAGCUUGAUAAUUUCAUCUUGUACUUUCUUAUAUUUAAAAAAAUUCAAUGUUACCCUCUUUUUGUAUUGAGACCUGAUGUAAGUGUUUCAUUAAAAAAGUUUUGUUUUGAAAAUUUCACAAAAAACAAAAGAAAAAUUAAAAAAAAAUAGUGAAAAUAUUUUAUACAAUUUAAAUUAAUGAUUUGUGAAUAAUAAAUACAAUAAUUAAGUAUUUAUUAAGGGAGUAAUUAUUUUUGAAAAAAUUAUUCAAAAAAUUAAUAAUUCAUGAAAAAAAAUUAUAAAAAAUAUUAUUUCCUAUUUUUAUUCAUAUUAUUAUUGGAUGGAGGGAAAAUGAUAAAAGAGUGAAUGAAAAUAAAUAAUAAAAUUAGAUUGAUGCGAAAAACAACAAAUGCUGUAUAAAUAAUUAAUAAUAAGCUCUUUUAUCUUUUUUGUUUGAAUUCCUUGAUUAUUUUUUUAGCCUUUUUCAUUCCUUUUAAGUAUACAUUUUUAUAUGAUUGGACGUAUAGAUAAUUCCAUGCUGUAAUAAAAGUAAUUAACUCUACAACUACGACGAUAUAUAUUAAUAUAUAUCCUACUACAAUAUUAAAAUUUGGCUUGCAGAAUAUUGAGGUAAAGAUCUGAAAUUCAGAAACCAUUUUGAAUAUUUUUUUUUAAGAAAAAAGUUUUUUUAACAGAAUUUUUUUUUAUAAUUUUUUAAUUACGUAUACAUGACAAUUUAUGAUUAUUCGUUUCAAAUUUUUUUUAAAAUAAAUUCAAAUAAACGAUUGAAAUAGUGACACGUCUUCUAUUAUAAAAAAAUUAUUAAAAAGUAUGAUUAAAAUAUCAUUCUCUUUUUUAACCGACAACAACUAAAUAAUCUAAUAAAAAGAGAAGAAGAAGCACGUGACAAAGGAUAUUCAUGAAGGAAGGAAAUCUAUAUAAUAUAUUUAAAGGUUAGUCAACAAGUAAUUAUAAAAUAUGUAAGUCAUUUUCAUUCAUUCACGUUGUUUAAUUUAUUGUUUUCAAUUUAAUUUCAAAUUUAUUAUUUAUAUAGUAAAUUAAAAAUAAAUUAAACUAAACAAUAAAUUAUUGGGGGAUAAUCUUGGAAGUCGCAUGAACAUUAUUUUAAGGACAACAUUUUGCCACAUAGUAAGCAUAAAAUAUUACUAAUUUAAGGAUGAAUGUGUAAUUGCAUGCACCGUAUUACUGCUCAUGAAUGCGCAACAAGACAAGCUUCCUCACAAAGAGUAAUUCACUUGAAACAAAUAACAGAGAAAUCUGGUGAACAAUUUUCUUUUUCAUGGAAGAUGGAAGAGAAAGAGAAAAAGAAAAAGGAUGAAUAAGUUUGAGUGUUAGAGAUAGAGAGAGAACUGAAAGAAAUACACAUGCAAGAAAACUACGGACAGGUUUCAUUGAUCAGCAAGAAAACAUCAUGGGCCCAUUGUCACGUUGACCCUUAAUCGGAAUAUUCCUUGUUAUAUGCCAUUCACAACUACCCUUCUUGUUAAUAUUAUUGUUUCGUUGAUUGCAAAGGAUUGAAAUAAUAAAUAGGACUUGAAUCAGUAGGAUCUCGGGGUUCGAGCAAAAUGGGUGUUGUGGAGGGUCUCUUAGCUUUAACUUUGUUUCUGAAUGUGGUUGUUGUGUGUAAUGGAGGCUCGAGCAGCUUCUUCGUUAGGAAAACCGAGAAAUCUGUGGAUAUGCCACUUGACAGUGAUGUAUUUUCUGUUCCUCCUGGUUAUAAUGCUCCUCAGCAGGUACAUACUUAUCUGGGUUUCCCUUCUUUUCUAAUUCUGUUAAAUAUUAUGUUCAUGUAAGAUAGGAGAGGACUUACUCUAGAGUUGAGGAAAACGGUGAAUGAUUCUCUGCUUAGUUUCGGGAUGAAAGUUCAAUUCUUUUUCGGGAUGAAAGUUCAAUUCUUUUUUCUUUAGGAGUUUUCUUUGAAUUGAAUUGAAUCAAUGACAAUGGCUGCUAUGCAUAAGGUUCAUAUAACGCAAGGUGACCUUGUGGGGAGGGGAAUGAUAGUGUCAUGGGUGACGAUAGAUGAACCGGGGUCGAGUGCAGUGCGUUACUGGAGUGAGAACAGUGGGGAGAAGAAGAUUGCAGAAGGACAAAUUGUUACUUAUAAGUUCUUCAAUUACUCAUCUGGGUUUAUUCACCACACCACCAUCAGAGAUUUAGAGGUACUUCUCUUUUCCAUUAUUUANAUNUUAUGUUNUNUGUUGUCCAGAUGCAGAACAAGGANGAGAAGCUUGUGAGAUAAAAGAAAAGUGCUAUCUGUUAGUGUCUUAAUAGGCCAAUAUGUUUGUUGUAAACUGGUGUGACAUUAUUUGUAGGGGAUCUUGGUCAGAGUUUUGAUUCAAAUGUGACUCUUUCUCACUAUGAAUUGAGUCCAAGAAAAGGAGAAACUGUACUGUUUGUUGGAGACCUCUCUUAUGCUGAUAACUACCCGAAUCAUGAUAAUGUGAGGUGGGAUACUUGGGGAAGGUUUACAGAAAGAAGUGUUGCAUAUCAACCAUGGAUUUGGACUGCAGGGAACCAUGAAAUUGAUUUUGCUCCAGAAAUUGUAAGCUUUCUCAAACCAAUUCACUUUAUCUGGUUUCAACUAUCUGAAAAACUUCUUUUUGUUUUUCUCAACGAAAAAUUUUAGCUUUGGUGUAAUGCAUUUACCAAGUCCAAAUGUUGGUAAGAAUAGAGUUUUUAACAUAGAUGAACACUUUCUUGCAGGGUGAAACCGUACCUUUCAAGCCUUUCACCCANCGUUACCAUGUUCCAUACAAAGCAUCUCAGAGCACUUCACCCUUCUGGUAUUCUAUCAAGAGAGCUUCGGCACACAUCAUUGUCUUGUCCUCAUAUUCAGCAUAUGGUAAUUCCCUCCAACGACUUUUGCAUCUUACAUACUUUUUUAUGAUUUCAGAUUAACUCAGUUCUGUUUGUAAUAACUUCACUGAGGAAUAAGCUAUAAUUUACAACAGAAAAAUGAACUUAUGCUAAAUAAUUUCGGCUCUUAGGUCUGUAUCUAUCUAUAUGUAUGUAUCAACUUAAUGUGGAACGUUGUUGUUUAUCUAAAAGCAUGAUGUCGGUGUCCUUAAGUUCCUGACCAACGACACUUACCUUAAUAAUCUGUGUGUAUGUCUAUUCAAACAUAUAAAGUUGCUUACUUCCGGCACUCUGUUCUUUUAUUGGAUUAAAUGCACACCUAAUCUAUGAUGCCACUACUUUGAAAUUGGUAGCCCUUUUUGUUAUAAUAAUCAUCGUUAUUCUCAGGCAAAUAUACGCCGCAAUAUAAAUGGCUUGAAAAGGAGCUACCGAAAGUUAACAGGACAGAGACUCCUUGGUUGAUUAUUCUCAUGCAUUCACCUUGGUACAAUAGCUACAAUUAUCACUACAUGGAAGGAGAAACAAUGAGAGUAAUGUACGAAACCUGGUUUGUGAAGUACAAGGUUGAUGUUGUNUUUGCUGGUCAUGUUCAUGCCUACGAACGAUCUGUAAGUGCUAAAACUAAACCUCAUUUGAAAUUUCUAAUUCUUCUGAAAGCCAUC
RNAcentral lists this long non-coding RNA (5942 nucleotides) under Vigna radiata. RNAcentral describes it as "long non-coding RNA (VRAD_LNC001398)". The record is from RNAcentral. Lineage: Eukaryota; Viridiplantae; Streptophyta; Magnoliopsida; Fabales; Fabaceae.